GAGCACGUAGGUGGGUUUGUAAGUCAGAUGUGAAAGCCUUCUGUUCAACGGAAGAAUUGCAUCUGAAACUACAAACCUUGAGUAUAGGAGGGGAGAAUGGAACUUCUGGUGGAGCGGUGAAAUGCGUAGAUAUCAGAAGGAACGCCGGCGGCGAAAGCGAUUCUCUGGCCUAUUACUGACACUCAGUGUGCGAAAGCUAGGGGAGCAAACGGGAUUAGAUACCCCGGUAGUCCUAGCCGUAAACGAUGGGCACUAAGUAGAGGGGU
Molecule: ribosomal RNA, 266 nt
Filed under: uncultured Planctomycetota bacterium
Lineage: Bacteria; Pseudomonadati; Planctomycetota
Description: uncultured planctomycete partial 16S ribosomal RNA
Rfam family: Bacterial small subunit ribosomal RNA
Source: RNAcentral